AUACGUAGGGUGCGAGCGUUAAUCGGAAUUACUGGGCGUAAAGGGUGCGCAGGCGGCGCCAUAAGACAGAUGUGAAAUCCCCGGGCUCAACCUGGGAACUGCGUUUGUGACUGUGGUGCUUGAGUGCGGCAGAGGGGGGUGGAAUUCCACGUGUAGCAGUGAAAUGCGUAGAGAUGUGGAGGAACACCGAUGGCGAAGGCAGCCCCCUGGGUCGACACUGACGCUCAUGCACGAAAGCGUGGGGAGC
This 247-nucleotide ribosomal RNA is filed under the name uncultured bacterium. RNAcentral describes it as "partial 16S ribosomal RNA". It matches the Rfam family "Bacterial small subunit ribosomal RNA", at positions 523 to 769 of the family's 1533-position model. The record is from RNAcentral.